AUCCAGCUGACGAGUCCCUAAUAGAAUGAAACGCGCGUCCUGAAU
RNAcentral lists this non-coding RNA (45 nucleotides) under Schistosoma curassoni. Lineage: Eukaryota; Metazoa; Platyhelminthes; Trematoda; Strigeidida; Schistosomatidae. The record is from RNAcentral.